Leptonychotes weddellii (Weddell seal) is the source of this 403-nucleotide non-coding RNA. Lineage: Eukaryota; Metazoa; Chordata; Mammalia; Carnivora; Phocidae. The record is from RefSeq and is a predicted model, not a curated record.
CACCGCUAUGUGGACAGUUUUGCGGCCCCUCGGCCCCCUGAGGCCUCAGGGCUUAAAGAAAACAUGUGUGACCAUGGACCAGGAACGCCCACGCUCUGACCUCAGCAUAAACAGCAGAAAUGAUCUCCGCAAGGUUUUGCAUCUUGAAUUUCUCUACAAGGAGAACAAGGCAAAGGAAAAUCCUCUAAAAACAAACCUUGAACUCAUUACCAGAUAUUUUCUGGAUCACUUUGGAAAUACUACUAACAAUUUCACUCAAGAAACACCAAUCCCUGCACUCUCAAUUCCAAAGAAAAAUAACAAAUUACCAUCAAGAUGCUCAGAGACCACGCUGGUAAAUAUAUAUGACCUUGCAGAUGAAGAUGCAGGAUGGAGAACAUCAUUGUCUGAAACAAGCAAAGCC